GUCUCCAGAAUUAUAAGAAAUAAAUUUCUAUUAUUUAUAAAUUAACCAAUCUAAGGUAUUCUGUUUAGCAGCCCGAAUAAUGGACUAAGACAGACGCCUAACAUAUGAUCUAUCCUAGAUAAUGCUCUCUUCGCAUUCAGGAAGAAUGUAUAUUCUGCUUCUGAAUGGAAAAAAACAAAAUCAGGAUCAGGCACGGUGGCGCAUAAGGCCAGGAGUUUGAGACGUCUAGGCAACACAGCAAGAUCCAUUUGGUCCAAAGUGAGAUUCCAGUGUUUCCUCCAGAAAGGCACAUUAUUCCUCCACCAUGGUCUUCUUUUUCCUGUGUACCUUGACCCUGUAGGAGAUGAGACUUCUAAAGUGAUUCCUUUCCCUCUUUUCUCCUCAUCACCCCUUCCCACUCUCUAAGGUUUUCAGGUGCUGGUUCCAUGGCUCUUCCUGAGCCGAAAAUAAGGAAACUCCAUAGACCUUGUCCACUGGAACUCGUUCCCAUCUACCCUCCACUCUAUCCAGCCCCAUGAGGACAAGGAACAUGAUUGGUUUUGCUCACUGCCGUAUCUUCCGUACCUAGUACGUAACAGGACAUCAAUAAAUAUUAGUUGAAUGGAAGAUUAAAUCAACAAAAUGGGUGAUGGAUCUCUGCAGUAAGUGGAAGAGUUCUUCAUGGCCCCCAAGGUUAUAUCCAUCUAGAACUUCAGCACGUAAUUUCAUCUGGAAAUAGUGCCUUUGCGGAUAUAAGUUAGGUAAAACUGAAGAUGAGAUCAUACUGGAUUAGGAUGGGAUCUAAAUCCAAUGAAAAUGUCUUCAUAAAAAACAGGAAAGAACCCAUAGAAACACAAGGAAGAAGGUCAUGUGAAGAUGGAGGCAGAGAUUGGAGGGAUGCAGCCACCGGCCCAGGAAUGCCAGCAGCCACCCAGAAGCUGGAAGGAAAUGAGGGAUUCUCUCCUAGAACCUUUAGAGAGAACAUGGUCCUGUGAACAGCUUGAUUUUGGACUUGCCCAUAGCUUGUAUACUCUUACUUUGGAUACAAUUUUAUCCAAACUUGGCUAAACAGUUUCUCAGCCUAUGGAAAAUUUAAAAUGGAGAAGAUUCAACUCGAUUCUUACAGAUUCAAAGCAAGAAAAUGAUGGGAACAUAGGAGGAGACCAAGAAAGCCUAUAAAAAGCAAAAAUAUGAAGUGAACAUUGUGGUAGCUUUAAGAUGUUUAGUGUAGCUGCAGGCACCCUAUACACAUGAAAACCCCCAAGGGGAAUCCCCAUAUCACAGUGUAGUGUGAUAUUUGACAUUCGUGAUCAUCUAGAGAUGUACAGAAAAGGUGAAUCUGUGUUCUGUAUAUUCUGCCUAAGGCAAAGAAAUGUUUAGCUCUCUUUAAAAUAGUUCCAUAAUUUUUUCUAAAAAGCUUUGCUUGAAAACUGUAAGCUUCCCAUAUCUGGAGCAUUUCACUUUAAAUAUUUGGAUAAAUAUGUUAUCUUCUUACUUGGACAUUUCAUGUGUUUAGGGAUUGUCUUCUAAAUUCUUCCUAAUUCAUAUAGCUGCUAACACUUCCCGCAGAGCUAAACCAUUACAGAUAUGAAAUAAAGACCUAUUGAUUUGACUU
Molecule: long non-coding RNA, 1594 nt
Filed under: Homo sapiens (human)
Lineage: Eukaryota; Metazoa; Chordata; Mammalia; Primates; Hominidae
Description: androgen receptor regulated long noncoding RNA 1
Source: RNAcentral